Molecule: long non-coding RNA, 1353 nt
Organism: Armigeres subalbatus
Lineage: Eukaryota; Metazoa; Arthropoda; Insecta; Diptera; Culicidae
Exons: 3
Source: RefSeq, a predicted model, not a curated record
CGUCGGUUACAAAUCCUACUUGUAGCUCCACCACAAGUUCCAUUUUCCCGAAUUCAUUAUCCCAAUUUCGACCCAAUACACCCGUUUGGAAAGUUAUUCAGCUAUGAGCAUCGCUUCAUCAAUGACAUGGGUGGUGUGAUAGAGCGUAUAAAUGUCAAUACUGUCAGUUGUGAGUGGCCACGCAUAAUCGAGCAGUUUGAGCAACGGAGCAAAACAUUACCCCGCUCAUUUUGAAUGACGUGCAGAUGGAGCACGGGUGAAAUCAUGCAAUAGGGUGCGGAACAAUAAAAUUAAACAUAAAAAUUGAACAUGGUAAUUGUUCAAUGUUUAUACCUAGAAAAGUAUAAAAGAUGGAAUGUCGAAUGUGAAUGUUCUCUUUUUGCUGUGGAUUCUUGUACGUAAUAGUAGUGCGCGCGUGUGUAAAUGUUAUUAAAUUUUGAGGUUAGUUUGUUAGUACCUCGUUUUAGUGGAAGUGUUAUUAAUUGUUUAUUGUUUCUCUAGAUUGUUAUUUGUUUAGUACAAACAUGCAAGUUAGUACGGAUUAAAAUCACCACAGUCUAAAACGGUGAUUAUUAGUACGAACACGAAUUAAAACCCAAGAAAAAGCAAGUGAACAAACAAAACAAACAAAAAUACCAACAAGAAAAAGAAUACUAUUUCCGGAACUCCCGGACGCGCAGUGAACCAGACCCAGCAGGAAGAAGCCUGAGUGAACGUCCAAUCCAGGCCUUCGUCGGUGUCAGCGACGACCAGAGCCGGUUCAAUCCCGUCGACCGUUGUGCGACGACGCCAUCUUUAAUCCCAUCAUCCUCCGGCCAAACCCAGUGUGCCAAGACGCCAUGACGAACCACAACGCGUUCCGAUGGGCGGCCUGAUCAACCGCUCGUCGACCUCCGUGGCCACCAUCCGGCCAACCAGACCAGCAAACAGCAGCUAAACCGCAAGUAACCACCCACCCCCCCUCUCCUGUGACGAUGUGACCAAAUAAACCGGUAUUGUUAUUAUGAAGAUUAUAGCCUCGUAUAUUCAAUCAGAGGAAACCCCGGUUAAUAAUAUUUCCACUAGUUCCACUUUUGCUCGUUCUUCCCGGGUUCGAAAGGAACCGUCAAGCCUCGACGUCCUUGUGAUUCGCAAGUGAAUUAGACUUUGGAUUUAGACCCCCCCCCUUCUAGGUUUCAUCGUUGUUCCAUAGCCCUAUUCAUAAUCAACCAGUGUUCCAUCCAAAGUAAAAUGUAAGUACUGUUCCUGCCGAGUAUGUGUACCCCCUGCCGACAAGUGGCGAUGUUUAUGCUCAAAAUCAUAGCAAUAACGACCCUGUAGAUUCCAAACCCAAAGUCCCUGAGCUGGCAAGUU